Molecule: ribosomal RNA, 206 nt
Filed under: uncultured bacterium
Lineage: Bacteria
Description: partial 16S ribosomal RNA
Rfam family: Bacterial small subunit ribosomal RNA
Source: RNAcentral
AGCGCAGGCGGUGCGGCAAGUCUGAUGUGAAAGCCCGGGGCUCAACCCCGGUACUGCAUUGGAAACUGUCGUACUAGAGUGUCGGAGGGGUAAGCGGAAUUCCUAGUGUAGCGGUGAAAUGCGUAGAUAUAUGGAGGAACACCAGUGGCGAAGGCGGCUCUCUGGUCUGUAACUGACGCUGAGGCUCGAAAGCGUGGGAGCAAACA